CGGCAACAGCUCAAAUUUGAAAUCUGGCUCCUUUGGGGUCCGAAUUGUAAUUUGUAGAGGAUGUUUCGGCGUUGGCGCCGCCCAAAGUUCCUUGGAACGGGACGUCAUAGAGGGUGAGAGCCCCGUGUCCGGGCGGAUGUCUUUGCCAUGUGAAACUCUUUCGAC
This 165-nucleotide ribosomal RNA is filed under the name Paramycoleptodiscus sp. RNAcentral's name for it is "partial large subunit ribosomal RNA". It matches the Rfam family "Eukaryotic large subunit ribosomal RNA", at positions 99 to 261 of the family's 3401-position model. Lineage: Eukaryota; Fungi; Ascomycota; Dothideomycetes; Muyocopronales; Muyocopronaceae. The record is from RNAcentral.